CCUACGGGAGGCAGCAGUGGGGAAUAUUGGGCAAUGGGCGCAAGCCUGACCCAGCAACGCCGCGUGAAGGAAGAAGGCUUUCGGGUUGUACACUUCUUUUGUCCGGGAAGAGUAGAAGACGGUACCUGACGAAUAAGCCACGGCUAACUACGUGCCAGCAGCCGCGGUAAUACGUAGGUGGCAAGCGUUGUCCGGAUUUACUGGGUGUAAAGGGCGUGUAGCCGGGUUGACAAGUCAGAUGUGAAAUCCUGCGGCUUAACCGCAGAACUGCAUUUGAAACUGUUGAUCUUGAGUACUGGAGAGGCAGAUGGAAUUCCGAGUGUAGCGGUGAAAUGCGUAGAUAUUAGGAGGAACACCAGUGGCGAAGGCGGUCUGCUGGACAGCAACUGACGGUGAGGCGCGAAAGCGUGGGGAGCAAACAGGAUUAGAUACCCCUGGAGUC
Molecule: ribosomal RNA, 442 nt
Filed under: uncultured bacterium
Lineage: Bacteria
Description: partial 16S ribosomal RNA
Rfam family: Bacterial small subunit ribosomal RNA
Source: RNAcentral